RNAcentral lists this ribosomal RNA (778 nucleotides) under uncultured bacterium. RNAcentral describes it as "bacterial SSU rRNA". It matches the Rfam family "Bacterial small subunit ribosomal RNA", at positions 8 to 769 of the family's 1533-position model. The record is from RNAcentral.
AGAGUUUGAUCCUGGCUCAGGACGAACGCUGGCGGCGUGCCUAAUACAUGCAAGUAGAACGCUGAAGACUGGUGCUUGCACUAGUCAGAUGAGUUGCGAACGGGUGAGUAACGCGUAGGUAACCUACCUUAUAGCGGGGGAUAACUAUUGGAAACGAUAGCUAAUACCGCAUGACAAUUAAGUACUCAUGUACUAAAUUUAAAAGGAGCAAUUGCUUCACUAUGAGAUGGACCUGCGUUGUAUUAGCUAGUUGGUGAGGUAACGGCUCACCAAGGCCACGAUACAUAGCCGACCUGAGAGGGUGAUCGGCCACACUGGGACUGAGACACGGCCCAGACUCCUACGGGAGGCAGCAGUAGGGAAUCUUCGGCAAUGGGGGCAACCCUGACCGAGCAACGCCGCGUGAGUGAAGAAGGUUUUCGGAUCGUAAAGCUCUGUUGUUAGAGAAGAACGGUAAUGGGAGUGGAAAAUCCAUUACGUGACGGUAACUAACCAGAAAGGGACGGCUAACUACGUGCCAGCAGCCGCGGUAAUACGUAGGUCUCGAGCGUUGUCCGGAUUUAUUGGGCGUAAAGCGAGCGCAGGCGGUUAUUUAAGUCUGAAGUUAAAGGCCGUGGCUCAACCAUGGUUCGCUUUGGAAACUGGAUAACUUGAGUGCAGAAGGGGAGAGUGGAAUUCCAUGUGUAGCGGUGAAAUGCGUAGAUAUAUGGAGGAACACCGGUGGCGAAAGCGGCUCUCUGGUCUGUAACUGACGCUGAGGCUCGAAAGCGUGGGGAGC